RNAcentral lists this long non-coding RNA (1567 nucleotides) under Salvia miltiorrhiza (redroot sage). RNAcentral describes it as "long non-coding RNA (SMIL_LNC008430)". Lineage: Eukaryota; Viridiplantae; Streptophyta; Magnoliopsida; Lamiales; Lamiaceae. The record is from RNAcentral.
GAUUUUUGAAUUCAGAUUCAGCCGUCUCUCAACUCUCACGUCUCCACGCCCUACCGUCUGCCUCCGGCGACCGGUGCCCCGUCCCACCGGCCAUCGGAGCCGGUGGAAUCUCCAGCGCUGCCGCGCCCAUCUCCCUCUGCACCCUCUUUUCUCUCUCUCUCACCUCUCUCCAGCGCCGCCGCGCCCGUCUGCCAGAAUCUUGCCACCCUCGACCUCUCCCAGAAUCUGCUCGUGAGCCCCCUCACGCCCUCCCUCUCCGAAGUCCGACCUCCCUUUCCUCAGGUAAGAAAAGGAAGAAGCAGACGCAAGUGACACAAUUCUCACACCCAAUUCAUUUAGAUAUUUCUUGUUCUUGAUUUUAAUUCAAGUUUUUUAAUUUUAUUCUUUUACUUUUGGUGAUUCGAAUCUAUUUGGCAACAUAUAUCUCUAGUUAUUUGCCUCCUCUUGAUUGAGUCUUCAGGAACUGGGUAGCAGUUUGCUCCAAAUGCUUCACAAAUUUUGUAGAUUUUUUCCUUGCUUGCUGGCCUGAGAAGAAUACCAUAAAAACUCUGUUCUCAACCUGCAGAUGCGGAGGAACAUAUCAGUAUUGAAAACAUGUAAAUAUGUAAUGCCUCAUCAACAAAGUGAUCCCGAUUCCCGACACUGCAAAAGUGCAUAAAUGAUUUUAAUUCUAAAAUAAUAGAACCAAUUAGUUUAGAAUACAUGUGCUUGGUCAUGGGAAAUAGAUAGUACAUCUUUUAACUCUUGGAGUGGUACUUCAGCUUCUUCUGAUUUGCUAACUAAUUGAACUCAGUAUUUAAAUAAGAAAAGGUAGAUACUAUUGUGAAGUUUUCAGCUUCAUCUACAUAGUUCUUUGGUGCUGGCAGAUGAUAUAUAUUGUGCAGAUGAUAUAUUAUGACUGGACUAAAACAAUAAUAUCAUCCCAUUGAUCAAAUAUGAUUUCAGUGGGUUUAUGAAAUAUCACUCUCUUAGGCUAAACAAAUCUUCAAUUGAAAUAAAGUUCAUCAAGGAUAAAAAACUUACGUUAACCUGCACUCCCACUCGCUCACCUGCCUAGGAUGGCUUCGUUCCUAUAUAGUAUAAGGCAGACGUACAUGAUAUUGAUCUAUAUCACUUCUCAGGUGAUUAGGCGUAUUUAUACGCAUAUAUUUUGGGGAUUUUAGUAUGAUCUCUAGGCUUAAAUGUUGAUAUUUAUCAUAUUUUAGUAUGAAUGUUGAAUUCUGGUCUUACGUGUAUUCUUGAUGGUAUUUGAUAGAUUUUGGAGAAUGGAGCUCAAGUUUAGAAGAUAUUCGAAGGAAUUAAAAUUCGUGAAGAAAAGCUAAUCCAUAGAAGAUAUUCGAAGGAAUUAAAAUUUGUGAAGAAAAGCUAAUCCACCCCUACAGAAGUUCACGGAAAUUGAAGAUUGAUGGAGAGUUUCUAGGGCUAAGAGCAUCCACAUUGGGAUUACAUGAUAGCCUACAUGAUAGCUUACUUGAUGAGGGGGGACCACAUUGUAUAAAGAGGCUGCAUUGGGAUUACAUGAUAGCCUACAUGUAUUUUUUAGUUUUGAUUUUUAUGCUUUUCACUU